RNAcentral lists this ribosomal RNA (561 nucleotides) under uncultured bacterium. RNAcentral's name for it is "bacterial SSU rRNA". It matches the Rfam family "Bacterial small subunit ribosomal RNA", at positions 505 to 1058 of the family's 1533-position model. The record is from RNAcentral.
GUGUCAGCAGCCGCGCGGUAAGACGGAGGAUGCAAGUGUUAUCCGGAAUCACUGGGCGUAAAGCGUCUGUAGGUUGUUUAGUAAGUCAACUGUUAAAUCUUGAAGCUUAACUUCAAAAUCGCAGUCGAAACUAGUAGACUAGAGUAUAGUAGGGGUAAAGGGAAUUUCCAGUGGAGCGGUGAAAUGCGUAGAGAUUGGGAAGAACACCGAUGGCGAAGGCACUUUACUGGGCUAUUACUGACACUCAGAGACGAAAGCUAGGGUAGCAAAUGGGAUUAGAUACCCCAGUAGUCCUAGCCGUAAACAAUGGAUACUAGAUGUUGAACAGAUCGACCUGUGCAGUAUUAAAGCUAACGCGUUAAGUAUCCCGCCUGGGGAGUACGACCGCAAGGUUAAAACUCAAAUGAAUUGACGGGGACCCGCACAAGUAGUGGAGCAUGUGGUUUAAUUCGAAGAUACGCGCAGAACCUUACCAACACUUGACAUGUUCGUCGCGGCUCUAAGAGAUUAGAGCUUUCGGUUCGGCCGGACGAAACACAGGUGCUGCAUGGAAUCCAUAUG